This 198-nucleotide ribosomal RNA is filed under the name uncultured bacterium. RNAcentral describes it as "partial 16S ribosomal RNA". It matches the Rfam family "Bacterial small subunit ribosomal RNA", at positions 1295 to 1500 of the family's 1533-position model. The record is from RNAcentral.
GGAUCGGAGUCUGCAACCCGACUCCGUGAAGCUGGAUUCGCUAGUAAUCGCGCAUCGGCCAUGGCGCGGUGAAUACGUUCCCGGGCCUUGUACACACCGCCCGUCAAGCCAUGGGAGCCGGGGGUGCUUGAAGUGCGUCGCCGCAAGGCGCGCCCUAGAGCAAAACCGGUGACUGGGGCUAAGUCGUAACAAGGUAUC